RNAcentral lists this ribosomal RNA (423 nucleotides) under uncultured fungus. RNAcentral's name for it is "eukaryotic LSU rRNA". It matches the Rfam family "Eukaryotic large subunit ribosomal RNA", at positions 1 to 418 of the family's 3401-position model. Lineage: Eukaryota; Fungi. The record is from RNAcentral. RNAcentral also lists the same sequence under 1 other name.
UUGGCCUCAAAUCGAGUAGGACUACCCGCUGAACUUAAGCAUAUCAAUAAGCGGAGGAAAAGAAACUAACAAGGAUUCCCCUAGUAACGGCGAGUGAAGAGGGAAAAGCUCAAAUUUUGAAUCUGAUGCCUUUGGUAUCCGAAUUGUAAUCUAGAGAAGUGUUUUCUGUGAUGGACCGUGCACAAGUCUCCUGGAAUGGAGCGUCAUAGAGGGUGAGAAUCCCGUAUAUGGCACGGACUCCCAUUGCUCUACGAUACACUCUCGACGAGUCGAGUUGUUUGGGAAUGCAGCUCCAAAUGGGUGGUAAAUGCCAUCUAAAGCUAAAUAUUGGCGAGAGACCGAUAGCGAACAAGUACCGUGAGGGAAAGAUGAAAAGCACUUUGGAAAGAGAGUGAAACAGUACGUGAAAUUGUUGAAAGGGAA